UAUUAGUGAUUUCUUGGGGGACAUGAC
This 27-nucleotide non-coding RNA is filed under the name Rattus norvegicus (Norway rat). The record is from RNAcentral. Lineage: Eukaryota; Metazoa; Chordata; Mammalia; Rodentia; Muridae.